GCGGGACACGUGAAAUCCUGUCUGAACAUGGGGAGACCACUCUCCAAGCCUAAGUACUCGUGCAUGACCGAUAGCGAACAAGUACCGUGAGGGAAAGGUGAAAAGCACCCCGACAAGGGGAGUGAAAUAGAACCUGAAACCGGUUGCCUACAAGCAGUCGGAGGCCGCAAGGCUGACGGCGUACCUUUUGUAUAAUGGGUCAACGACUUAGUGUAACUAGCAAGCUUAAGCCGAUAGGUGUAGGCGCAGCGAAAGCGAGUCUGAAUAGGGCGAUUGAGUUAGUUGCAUUAGACCCGAAACCGAGUGAUCUAGCCAUGAGCAGGUUGAAGGUUGGGUAACACCAACUGGAGGACCGAACCCGCAUCUGUUGCAAUAGAUUGGGAUGACUUGUGGCUAGGGGUGAAAGGCCAAUCAAACUCGGAAAUAGCUGGUUCUCCGCGAAAACUAUUUAGGUAGUGCGUCGACCGAAUACCCUCGGGGGUAGAGCACUGGAUGGGCUAUGGGGACUCACCGUCUUACUGAUCCUAACCAAACUCCGAAUACCGAGGAGUACUAGUCGGCAGACACACGGCGGGUGCUAACGUCCGUCGUGAAGAGGGCAACAACCCUGACCUCCAGCUAAGGUCCCCAAGUCAUGGCUAAGUGGGAAAGGAUGUGAGGAUCCCAAAACAACCAGGAUGUUGGCUUAGAAGCAGCCAUCAUUUAAAGAAAGCGUAACAGCUCACUGGUCUAAAUAAGGGUCUUUGCGCCGAAAAUGUAACGGGGCUAAAGCCAUGCACCGAAGCUGAGGAUACGUCGCAAGACGUGUGGUAGCGGAGCGUUCCGUAAGCCUGUGAAGGGAGACCCGUGAGGGCUCCUGGAGGUAUCGGAAGUGCGAAUGUUGACAUGAGUAACGAUAAAGGGAGUGAGAGACUCCCUCGCCGAAAGACCAAGGGUUCCUGCUUAAAGUUAAUCUGAGCAGGGUUAGCCGGCCCCUAAGACGAGGCGGACACGCGUAGUCGAUGGGAACCACGUUAAUAUUCGUGGGCCUGGUGGUAGUGACGGAUUGCUCAACUUGUAAGGUCUUAUUGGAUUGAUCUUGCAGGGACGCGGUUCCAGGAAAUAGCUCCACCAUUAUAGACCGUACCCGAAACCGACACAGGUGGUCAGGUAGAGUAUACCAAGGCGCUUGAGAGAACUAUGCUGAAGGAACUCGGCAAAUUGCACGCGUAACUUCGGAAGAAGCGUGACCCCAAGCUACGCAAGUAUUUUGGGGUGGCACAGACCAGGGGGUAGCGACUGUUUAUCAAAAACACAGGGCUCUGCGAAGUCGCAAGACGACGUAUAGGGUCUGACGCCUGCCCGGUGCUGGAAGGUUAAGAGGAGAGGUGCAAGCUUUGAAUCGAAGCCCCAGUAAACGGCGGCCGUAACUAUAACGGUCCUAAGGUAGCGAAAUUCCUUGUCGGGUAAGUUCCGACCUGCACGAAUGGCGUAACGACUUCCCCGCUGUCUCCAGCAGAGACUCAGUGAAAUUGAAUUCCCCGUGAAGAUGCGGGGUUCCUGCGGUUAGACGGAAAGACCCCGUGCACCUUUACUAUAGCUUUACACUGGCAUUCGUGUCGGCAUGUGUAGGAUAGGUGGUAGGCUUUGAAGCAGGGACGCCAGUUUCUGUGGAGCCAUCCUUGAAAUACCACCCUUAUCGUCAUGGAUGUCUAACUGCGGCCCGUUAUCCGGGUCCAGGACCGUGUAUGGUGGGUAGUUUGACUGGGGCGGUCGCCUCCGAAAGAGUAACGGAGGCGCGCGAUGGUUAGCUCAGACCGGUCGGAAAUCGGUCGUCGAGUGCAAUGGCAUAAGCUAGCCUGACUGCGAGACUGACAAGUCGAGCAGAGACGAAAGUCGGUCAUAGUGAUCCGGUGGUCCCGCGUGGAAGGGCCAUCG
This 1917-nucleotide ribosomal RNA is filed under the name feces metagenome. RNAcentral describes it as "bacterial LSU rRNA". It matches the Rfam family "Bacterial large subunit ribosomal RNA", at positions 417 to 2447 of the family's 2925-position model. The record is from RNAcentral.